CGAGCGGCGAACGGGUGAGUAACACGUGAGCAACCUGCCCCUGACUCCGGGAUAAGCGGUGGAAACGCCGUCUAAUACCGGAUACGACCCGCCAUCUCAUGGUGGUGGGUGGAAAGUUUUCUCGGUUGGGGAUGGGCUCGCGGCCUAUCAGCUUGUUGGUGGGGUAACGGCCUACCAAGGCGAUUACGGGUAGCCGGCCUGAGAGGGCGACCGGCCACACUGGGACUGAGACACGGCCCAGACUCCUGCGGGAGGCAGCAGUGGGGAAUAUUGCGCAAUGGGCGAAAGCCUGACGCAGCGACGCCGCGUGGGGGAUGACGGCCUUCGGGUUGUAAACCUCUUUUACCACCAACGCAGGCUCCCAGUUCUCUGGGGGUUGACGGUAGGUGGGGAAUAAGGACCGGCUAACUACGUGCCAGCAGCCGCGGUAAUACGUAGGGUCCGAGCGUUGUCCGGAAUUAUUGGGCGUAAAGAGCUCGUAGGCGGCGUGUCGCGUCUGCUGUGAAAGACCGGGGCUUAACUCCGGUUCUGCAGUGGAUACGGGCAUGCUAGAGGUAGGUAGGGGAGACUGGAAUUCCUGGUGUAGCGGUGAAAUGCGCAGAUAUCAGGAGGAACACCGGUGGCGAAGGCGGGUCUCUGGGCCUUACCUGACGCUGAGGAGCGAAAGCAUGGGGAGCGAACAGGAUUAGAUACCCUGGUAGUCCAUGCCGUAAACGUUGGGCGCUAGGUGUGGGGACUUUCCACGGUUUCCGCGCCGUAGCUAACGCAUUAAGCGCCCCGCCUGGGGAGUACGGCCGCAAGGCUAAAACUCAAAGGAAUUGACGGGGGCCCGCACAAGCGGCGGAGCAUGUUGCUUAAUUCGACGCAACGCGAAGAACCUUACCAAGGUUUGACAUCACCCGUGGACCUGCAGAGAUGUGGGGUCAUUUAGUUG
RNAcentral lists this ribosomal RNA (934 nucleotides) under Nocardiopsis sp. EGI 80023. RNAcentral describes it as "bacterial SSU rRNA". It matches the Rfam family "Bacterial small subunit ribosomal RNA", at positions 92 to 1025 of the family's 1533-position model. The record is from RNAcentral. Lineage: Bacteria; Bacillati; Actinomycetota; Actinomycetes; Streptosporangiales; Nocardiopsidaceae.